This 497-nucleotide ribosomal RNA is filed under the name uncultured bacterium. Its description in RNAcentral is "partial 16S ribosomal RNA". It matches the Rfam family "Bacterial small subunit ribosomal RNA", at positions 28 to 507 of the family's 1533-position model. The record is from RNAcentral.
GAUGAACGCUGGCGGCGUGCCUAAUACAUGCAAGUCGAGCGAACGGACGAGAAGCUUGCUUCUCUGAUGUUAGCGGCGGACGGGUGAGUAACACGUGGAUAACCUACCUAUAAGACUGGGAUAACUUCGGGAAACCGGAGCUAAUACCGGAUGAUAUUUUGAACCGCAUGGUUCAAAAGUGAAAGACGGUCUUGCUGUCACUUAUAGAUGGAUCCGCGCUGCAUUGGCUAGUUGGUAAGGUAACGGCUUACCAAGGCAACGAUGCAUAGCCGACCUGAGAGGGUGAUCGGCCACACUGGAACUGAGACACGGUCCAGACUCCUACGAGAGGCAGCAGUAGGGAAUCUUCCGCAAUGGGCGAAAGCCUGACGGAGCAACGCCGCGUGAGUGAUGAAGGUCUUCGGAUCGUAAAACUCUGUUAUUAGGGAAGAACAUAUGUGUAAGUAACUGUGCACAUCUUGACGGUACCUAAUCAGAAAGCCACGGCUAACUACGUG